RNAcentral lists this long non-coding RNA (539 nucleotides) under Mus musculus (house mouse). RNAcentral describes it as "lincRNA-EC45". The record is from RNAcentral. Lineage: Eukaryota; Metazoa; Chordata; Mammalia; Rodentia; Muridae.
ACCCAGUAACAGAACCUGUGUGCAAGAGCUAGGUGAAGGACCUCUAGCACUAGGGAGCUCUGUCCACUUCUCUGAGGAAGUGAGGCCACGUGUGGGGUACCGCAACCAAUUCAUCAUUGCCUUCUCCAGCUGCUGGAGACAGGGCACCGGAGGGUGCACUCCAGGUUCAGGUGGCAGUGUUGAAGCCGAAAGCUUCUAAAGAAGUGGUUUCAGAAAAAUUAAGAGUUGAAUGUAUAUGAGUAAGCAAACGUAGGAAUCCAAAAAACCACAGCCUGGGACAGAUCAAGCCUAGUACCUUUCCAGCACUUAAGAAGAGUUCAUGCCCAAUCGAUUCACUAUUCAUCUUGAUUCCAUCAUGAAGGCUGGUCUUGGGUGUGAGUGAGUGAAGAAGCUGCUCCCAAACUCUCUGCUCUAAGGGAAGAUGGGGCUUGGAGGAGAUUUGACUUUGUAUAUAGUGCAUAUACAUGAAUGCUAGAUGCUGCAGGUAAAAUAGCUAACCUUAAGGAUAGGGUCUCCAGAAAAGAACAGGAUAGGUCCCU